This 385-nucleotide long non-coding RNA is filed under the name Ananas comosus (pineapple). RNAcentral's name for it is "long non-coding RNA (ACOM_LNC023182)". Lineage: Eukaryota; Viridiplantae; Streptophyta; Magnoliopsida; Poales; Bromeliaceae. The record is from RNAcentral.
CUUUUUAAUUUCAAGAAACUUUUUAAAUUAUCCUUAUUAUAUUAAUUAACUCUAUUUAAAAUUUGGGCGUUUGUCCGUUUCGCCCAUGUAGUGUUUUAGGGCGUGUUUGGUUCGCUUUUUUUUCAUCUUGGAAUCGGAAUCGGAAUGGGUGAAUCCGUUUGUGGGUGUUUGGUACGCGGGAGUCCCAUUCCGAUUCCGAUUCCCGAGUGGAAUGGGAAUCCCCCAAUCAACUCUUUUUUCAAUCCGGCCUAGGUGACCGGAUUGGAAGUUGAAUCCGGACGGAAUGGAAAUUUAUUCGGAUUAAAUUUAUUUUUUUAAUUUUUUUAAUUAAAGUAGGAGUUAAAAUUUAAAAAAUUAAAUAUAUAAUUUUAAAUUUUAAUUUGAA